Molecule: non-coding RNA, 225 nt
Organism: Vicia faba (fava bean)
Lineage: Eukaryota; Viridiplantae; Streptophyta; Magnoliopsida; Fabales; Fabaceae
Source: the annotation of a GenBank genome assembly
AUGAUUCUAGAGCAAGUUACAUCCAUAGAAAAUCCUCUAGAAGUUCUGCUCAACAGGAAAGUCAUAAAGAAGUGCCACAGCACUAUUGCUAUUGAUCGGACAUUCACUAUUGCAUUACCUGAAUGGAAUGGCAGCAAUCUUCUUAGUCCCUGCGCAUUCAAGAACAAGUCCAUCCAAUCUUACCGUUCUUUAACCUACGAGUGCUUCUGGCAUAAGCGUUGCUAG